CCUACGGGCGGCAGCAGUGAGGAAUAUUGGUCAAUGGACGAGAGUCUGAUCCAGCCAAGUAGCGUGAAGGAUGACUGCCCUAUGGGUUGUAAACUUCUUUUAUAUGGGAAUAAAACGUUCCACGUGUGGGACUUUGUAUGUACCAUAUGAAUAAGGAUCGGCUAACUCCGUGCCAGCAGCCGCGGUAAUACUGAGGAUCCGAGCGUUAUCCGGAUUUACUGGGUUUAAAGGGAGCGUAGGUGGAUUGUUAAGUCAGUUGUGAAAGUGUGCGGCUCAACCGUAAAAUUGCAGUUGAAACUGGCAGGCUUGAGUACAGUAGAGGUGGGCGGAAUUCGUGGUGUAGCGGUGAAAUGCUUAGAUAUCACGAAGAACUCCGAUGGCGAAGGCAGUUCACUGGACUGCAACUGACGCUGAGGCAUGAGAGCAUGGGGAGCGAACAGGAUUAGAUACCCGUGUAGUC
This 460-nucleotide ribosomal RNA is filed under the name uncultured bacterium. RNAcentral's name for it is "partial 16S ribosomal RNA". It matches the Rfam family "Bacterial small subunit ribosomal RNA", at positions 338 to 795 of the family's 1533-position model. The record is from RNAcentral.